This 326-nucleotide unclassified non-coding RNA is filed under the name soil metagenome. Its description in RNAcentral is "partial contains 5.8S ribosomal RNA, internal transcribed spacer 2, and large subunit ribosomal RNA". The stretch from base 1 to 120 matches the Rfam family "5.8S ribosomal RNA", at positions 35 to 154 of the family's 154-position model. The record is from RNAcentral.
GAUGAAGAACGCAGCGAAAUGCGAUAAGUAAUGUGAAUUGCAGAAUUCAGUGAAUCAUCGAAUCUUUGAACGCACAUUGCGCCCCUUGGUAUUCCGAGGGGCAUGCCUGUUCGAGCGUCAUAUUAACCACUCCCGCUUGCGGGGUCUUGGGCUUCGCCUCCGGGCGGGCCUUAAAAUCAGUGGCGGUGCCGUCGGGCUCUACGCGUAGUAAAUUUUCUCGCGAUAGGGUCCCGGUGGAUGCUUGCCAACAACCCCCAACUUCUUAAGGUUGACCUCGGAUCAGGUAGGGAUACCCGCUGAACUUAAGCAUAUCAAUAAGCGGAGGA